AGGCAUGGUAUUGAAAUGGAUGUGGAGAUUAGAAUGGACCCCCAAGAGCCUCCUAACCCAACACUCAAUGGAGCACCUGCCCUGGCUGAGGAGGAGGCGGCAGCUCAUAGAGAGAUUUGUGGACUGAGGCGGUCAACUCGCAAACUGCAGACGUGGAUUGACCCUUGACACCUGUGGCCAAACAUUCCCCCUCACUCCUGGCAUCUGUGGGUCUGUGACACUUGUGAACUGGGGCCUCACGGACUUCAUCCCAGUGCACGGACGCAGAUGUGGACGGACCCUCGACACCUGUGGCCAAACCUUCCCCCUCACUCCUGGCAAUUGCUGAUUUGGGAGCCUCACGCACCUUAUCCUUGGGUGGAGGCUGCAACACAGCUUCCCUUGGUGGCGGGGGCACCCUCACCCGGCGCAUGGGCUGCAACACAGCUUCCCCCGUUUGUGAAUAAAAUAAAUCAUGUCCUGUACUGUAUAUUCAGGUAC
This is a non-coding RNA of Oncorhynchus mykiss (rainbow trout), 480 nucleotides long. Lineage: Eukaryota; Metazoa; Chordata; Actinopteri; Salmoniformes; Salmonidae. The record is from RefSeq and is a predicted model, not a curated record.